Populus trichocarpa (black cottonwood) is the source of this 1329-nucleotide long non-coding RNA. RefSeq lists it as uncharacterized. The record is from RefSeq and is a predicted model, not a curated record. Lineage: Eukaryota; Viridiplantae; Streptophyta; Magnoliopsida; Malpighiales; Salicaceae. The transcript has 5 exons.
UCGUGGAUUGAUUAACAGUCCUGUAAAUGCAGGACUGUAACAGGGACUGGUUUUGGAAAGCUCUCUGGCUCUAUAAAAGGCAGAGCAGAGGCAACGGAAAAAAAAAAGGAACGAAACAGGGGAGAACCGGAGAAAAAACGGAGAGGCAGAGCACGAAUCGAAACAAAAAAAAACACAGGGACGAUGAGCGGAAGACCAGAACGAACACAGAGGAACAAAUACACAGACGAAGAAGGAGAGUCAGGGAGGACGAACUGAGAAGAGGAACUUGGGCAAACAGAGAAAAAAAAAACAGAGCACGAAGAAAACAAAUCCAUAAUUUUACAGAGAGAGAACCUAGAGAGAAAAGAAACCAAGACCAGGAGAGAAAGCAAAGGAGGACAGAAGGGAAGAACGAGGCGUUGCCUAACCAGUGCACUAAUCACCCCGAACUUCGUCUUCGUCGUCAAGCACACCAGACCAGCGAUGCUGACGACAACAAAUCAUUAGGUGCCGACCAAUUACAGAUACCUAAGGCACAUGCAACGACUCACGACAUGGGGUUGCCAAGUGCGAUACUGCAACAUUGAGGGGGGCUUCCAUUCACAGCAGGAUCCAUUUACCUGCAAGUACAAGGCCUAAUGGAAAAAUGACUUUUCAAUUCGGAAUGGAGAAUCGACACCGGCGUGUUCAUGGUUCUAUUACCACGCACACCAACGACUCUGUUCCGUUUGUUUCGCAUACGAAGCGAAAGUUAAGUUGGAUGAAACUUUUUGUUCAUAUGCGAAGUGAUGACUGCCAAAAAGAGAUGCAGCAGUUCAUUGAUAGUUGAGCUUAGCACUUUGUGAAUACAUAUAACAGUUACUUGAAGGAGAGAUACGAGGACGAUCCUUCGACCCAUUUGGAUCUCGAUCUAGAUUUGUGAUUGGACACAAGAUCGUCUAGUGGGCCCGAUAAAAAUCGGGUGUAUGGACUCUUUAACACUACAACAAAGAACUUGUGGGCAAUCCAUAAUGUUUCGACCGUUGGAUGCUCACAAUUGGUUCCAAGCACUCACUCCCGAGUUUGAGGCAAUGUUAGACCAACGAAUACAUGAUCAGACGACCUAUCCUAACAAAAAAUACGAACGACUCAUUGUAGAUUAUGAAUAACUCCGCCAAGUGUUAAUGGAGAUGAGAUCACAAAUGGGUGGUCUAGGUGCUCCUCCUUAUUGGCCUCACGGUCUCGACGACGACCAACCUCCUCCUCCUUCAGCGCCGUCUUUGUUUUAGAUUUAUUUUAUUUGAAUGUAAAAUUGUUUAAAUUUGUAAUAAAUAUUUAAUUUUUCUAUUAUUUUAAUUUCUUUUUAUA